UUUCAUCUUCUCAGCCACACCAGAGCUGAGGCGUCAUGGAUGCUGGAGAAGGGCUCUGCCACUUCAGUACACCUGAGCCACUGGUUAUCUCCAAGCUGUAAUAAAUAAAUCCAGAGAGAAGUCUAAAUGCAGAACAAAAGCAGGUGCAGCUGGAGAGCUCACAUGGGGGCUCUCUCUCCCUUUCUCAGGAUUCACUGCCACCGUGAGAUGCAAGGACACAGUCACGGAGCCCCACGCCACACUCUCUGCAGGGCCUCUGCUGCAGACAAAGCUGAAGAAAACCGAGGGCGACUGAGCAGCCAGCAAUGGUUCGGUGUGGAGUCAGGGAUCUGACUUGAGCCUGCCUGCCCUGUCUCUGCUGAGUGACCUUGGGUCCCCACGAAGCCUUGCUACUUCUCAGCUUCUGAUGGGUGGAAGUCAAUUGACCUUCCGCUGAACGAUUUCCUUCUCACCAGAAGCCAGAGUAGGCCUUGUCUGGGUUUAGCAAACCCAUAACAAAGUAGCUAAAGUAGCUUCCUAACAAAGGUCAAGGGAUUCCAAGGGAAACAGCCCAGCAUCAGGCCCUGGCAAACUGGUAGAUUCUCCAUUUCUCUCCAGUCAUGGUGACCAAGAUAAAAACGUGUGCACAGAAGGAAGCAACCCCUCCUGCCCAAUGUACUGAGCUACACCCACAGCCCAGUCCUACAGCAGCCUUUUUUUUGAGACUGUCUCAUGUGGCCUUUCAGUAGCUGAGGAUGACCUUGAACUCCUAAUCCUCCUGCCUCCACCUUGCAAGUGCUGGGUACAUUCACCAUGACUAUUACCUAGGUGGCCUUGGAUUCCUGGUCUCAACAAACUUCCUGCCUCUUCCUUCUGGGGAACUGGGAUAUAGACAUGUACUUCCAUGCCUGACCUGACCAUGGCCUCUAAAAAUAUGUAUAUGUAUGUA
Molecule: long non-coding RNA, 928 nt
Organism: Grammomys surdaster
Lineage: Eukaryota; Metazoa; Chordata; Mammalia; Rodentia; Muridae
Exons: 2
Source: RefSeq, a predicted model, not a curated record